AGGUUUGAAGAGUGCUAGGCUGUGUAUCUAGACUAGCCAAGCCCUGGAGAGCAAUGUUGAAUCCCCAAGAAGAGAGAGCAUGGGGCGUGCUGAUUUAAAAACAGAAAAUGCAAAGUUGGACUGAAAAUAUCCUUAGUCUUCCAAGCAAUCUGCUUAAGGGUUCCAAACUUACCUUCAUUUGGUGAGAAAAGAAGCUGCCCUAUUUUUCUUUCCUCUUCUACAACUGGAACCAGCCAUUUCCCACAACCACCACCAUG
This 257-nucleotide non-coding RNA is filed under the name Ictidomys tridecemlineatus (thirteen-lined ground squirrel). Its description in RNAcentral is "Spermophilus tridecemlineatus (thirteen-lined ground squirrel) Voltage-gated potassium-channel Kv1.4 IRES". It matches the Rfam family "Voltage-gated potassium-channel Kv1.4 IRES". Rfam says of the family: This family represents the Kv1.4 voltage-gated potassium-channel internal ribosome entry site (IRES). This region has been shown to mediate internal ribosome entry in cells derived from brain, heart, and skeletal muscle, tissues known to express Kv1.4 mRNA species. The record is from Rfam by way of RNAcentral. Lineage: Eukaryota; Metazoa; Chordata; Mammalia; Rodentia; Sciuridae.